RNAcentral lists this long non-coding RNA (453 nucleotides) under Capsicum annuum. RNAcentral's name for it is "long non-coding RNA (CANN_LNC020728)". Lineage: Eukaryota; Viridiplantae; Streptophyta; Magnoliopsida; Solanales; Solanaceae. The record is from RNAcentral.
UGAUGCACCUCCUUCUGUGAAGCGUCUAAAGGUGCACUCAAAUUUCUACUUCAUUCAUUUUUUUUUGUUUUUUUUUUUAAGUGUUUGGUUAGUAAAUUAAUAUUUUUGUUAGGUGAUAUACCUCCUUUUCUAAAACGUCCAAGGAUUCACUCAAAAUUCUUCUUAUCUUCCUUUUUUGGGGGGUUUUUUGCUAAGCAUUCGAUGAGUAAAUUGAUUCAUUUUUGGUUCUUUUUGAUUGGUGUGAAUUGUAUUUUUAGGGAGAUGACAAUGUGGAUACUUCGGAAAAAAAAUCGAUGCUGCCAUCUGAGAAUUCAAAGGACACAGUUGACGAAAAGGCUGAGGCCACGGCUGACGGAAAAAUCGAGGCUGCAAUUGAUGAAAAAGUUGAUGCUGCGGCUGACGGAAAAGGUGACACUGCAGUAGACGGUGGAGUUUUCACAGCUGCCCCAGUAG